AUCCUUUUGGAAGUCAUAAGUGUGAUUGGGUUUUCAUGCCCUUGUGUCAAACGUGUCUCCCUCAAACCGUGUUACAAAGUGGGCACACUACCUGCCUGACG
Macaca mulatta (Rhesus monkey) is the source of this 101-nucleotide non-coding RNA. Lineage: Eukaryota; Metazoa; Chordata; Mammalia; Primates; Cercopithecidae. The record is from Rfam.